GGGGAUUUAGCUCAGUGGUAGAGCACUUGUCUAGCAGGCACAAGGCCCUGGGUUCGGUCCCCAGCUCCG
This 69-nucleotide transfer RNA is filed under the name Rattus norvegicus (Norway rat). It matches the Rfam family "tRNA". From Rfam's summary of the family: Transfer RNA (tRNA) molecules are approximately 80 nucleotides in length. Their secondary structure includes four short double-helical elements and three loops (D, anti-codon, and T loops). Lineage: Eukaryota; Metazoa; Chordata; Mammalia; Rodentia; Muridae. The record is from Rfam by way of RNAcentral.